UGUCUCUCAGGUGAGCGGUUUCAGUUCGGUUUCAGUUCCCCGUGUCUCUCAGGUGAGCGGUUUCGGUUCGGUUUCAGUUCCCCGUGUCUCUCAGGUGAGCGGUUUCAGUUCCCCGUGUCUCUCAGGUGAGCGGUUUCAGUUCGGUUUCAGUUCCCCGUGUCUCUCAGGUGAGCGGUUUCAGUUCGGUUUCAGUUCCCCGUGUCUCUCAGGUGAGCGGUUUCGGUUCGGUUUCAGUUCCCCGUGUCUCUCAGGUGAGCGGUUUCAGUUCCCCGUGUCUCUCAGGUGAGCGGUUUCAGUUCGGUUUCAGUUCCCCGUGUCUCUCAGGUGAGCGGUUUCGGUUCGGUUUCAGUUCCCCGUGUCUCUCAGGUGAGCGGUUUCAGUUCCCCGUGUCUCUCAGGUGAGCGGUUUCGGUUCGGUUUCAGUUCCCCGUGUCUCUCAGGUGAGCGGUUUCGGUUCGGUUUCAGUUCCCCGUGUCUCUCAGGUGAGCGGUUUCAGUUCGGUUUCAGUUCCCCGUGUCUCUCAGGUGAGCGGUUUCAGUUCGGUUUCAGUUCCCCGUGUCUCUCAGGUGAGCGGUUUCGGUUCGGUUUCAGUUCCCCGUGUCUCUCAGGUGAGCGGUUUCAGUUCGGUUUCAGUUCCCCGUGUCUCUCAGGUGAGCGGUUUCAGUUCGGUUUCAGUUCCCCGUGUCUCUCAGGUGAGCGGUUUCAGUUCCCCGUGUCUCUCAGGUGAGCGGUUUCAGUUCGGUUUCAGUUCCCCGUGUCUCUCAGGUGAGCGGUUUCGGUUCGGUUUCAGUUCCCCGUGUCUCACAGGUGAGCGGUUUCGGUUCGGUUUCAGUUCCCCGUGUCUCUCAGGUGAGCGGUUUCGGUUCGGUUUCAGUUCCCCGUGUCUCUCAGGUGAGCGGUUUCAGUUCGGUUUCAGUUCCCCGUGUCUCUCAGGUGAGCGGUUUCAGUUCCCCGUGUCUCUCAGGUGAGCGGUUUCAGUUCCCCGUGUCUCUCAGGUGAGCGGUUUCAGUUCGGUUUCGGUUCCCCGUGUCUCUCAGGUGAGCGGUUUCAGUUCAGUUUCAGUUCCCCGUGUCUCUCAGGUGAGCGGUUUCAGUUCGGUUUCGGUUCCCCGUGUCUCUCAGGUGAGUGGUUUCAGUUCCCCGUGUCUCUCAGGUGAGCGGUUUCGGUUCGGUUUCAGUUCCCCGUGUCUCUCAGGUGAGUGGUUUCAGUUCCCCGUGUCUCUCAGGUGAGCGGUUUCGGUUCGGUUUCGGUUCCCCUUGUCUCUCAGGUGAGCGGUUUCGGUUCGGUU
This is a long non-coding RNA of Polyodon spathula (Mississippi paddlefish), 1287 nucleotides long. RefSeq lists it as uncharacterized. The transcript is spliced from 3 exons. NCBI's taxonomy places the organism in Eukaryota, Metazoa, Chordata, Actinopteri, Acipenseriformes, Polyodontidae. The record is from RefSeq and is a predicted model, not a curated record.